AUAUAUAUAUAUAUAUAUAGACUUAAGACUAUGAAUACUAUACAUAUUUAAAUAAAUAGUCAUUUUCAUAAAAUAAAAUGCUAUUCUUAAGAAAUACAAUUCGAUCGAAGUUUAAAUAAAUCAAACUAAAAUAAUUAAACUUGGUCAAAAGAAAUAAGAUUACAUAUAAUAACAUUUAUGAUUUUUUUUCAAGUUAAUGAAAUUAAAAUAUAAAAUAAUAAUAUUUAAAUUUAGAUCAAAUAUUAUUUUAAAUCAAAAUAUAAUUAUAUUUAAAACUAUUGUUUAUCCGUAUGGUUGCAAAAUUAUUGUUUAUGCGUAUGGUACAAAAUUAUUAUUUAUGCGUAUGGCGCAGAUAAAUUCUUAGUAUAUAUAAAUGCACAUAUAUAUAUAUAUACAUAUAUAGUCUUGUAUCAAACAAUAAUACAAUAAUAUUUCCUAUUCUAUAAUAUUUUACACAUUUCAUCUCUAAGGUCCAACAGAUUUUGAAAUUGUAAUUAUGAGCAAUUGAUGCUUUUUGACAAAGUGUUAACGAGAAAAUAGUGCAAAUAGACGCGGUAAGGAAUUAGUCCUUCAUAAAAUAGAAGCUAACAAAUUGCUUCAGCUAAUAAUUAUAUAAUAUGAUACACAAAUAUAAAAAAUGAAAGGAUAGACUCUCUUCUCAAAGCCUUCUUGGCACCACAAGACUGGGCAAAUAAUAAUUAAUUCGAGGAAAACAAAAACACAAGCUCCGAUGACCAUUAAAGUAGAAAUAUAAAUGAAUAGGAAAAAAUAUGUAAGAACAAAAUAAAAUAAAUGGAAAAGAAUAUUUAUUUCUUUGUUCCAUAUCAAUUUUGAUAAGAAAUGUUUUUGUUCUAUAGUUCCUUAAAAUUUAAAGAAUGACAAGAAAUCAUACACAGCAAAUAUUUCUCAUAAAUGAUAUAAUUUUUAAGUAAUGAAUAGGAAUUGAUUAUUCUCUUUAGUUCUCUAUGUCAUCAUUUAGACCUAAAGAAAAAACUAAAUUUAAUGAAGAUUAUUUCUGAAAAAAAAAUCUAAUGAGGUUUAAGAUGUAUUUUCUGCUGCAACUACAAUUAAUAAUUUUUUAAAAGUUAUGGUGAUGUAUUAAAUUUCUAAGAAGCCUCUUGAUAAAAAUGCAACAUAAGAAAGGAAAAACUUUACUUAUAAUUGUAUUAAAUAAUAGAAGCAUAAAAUACUUCAAAAUGUUUCUUAAUAUAUAAAAAAGUCAAAUUAUUUUUUCCAUGUAAAGAAAGCCUUUACAAUUGAUACAUCCACCACAGUUUUAACUCAAUUUCGAUAGAGAUAUUAGUUAGGCAGUCUUUUUGUUUUUGUUAGGAAACAUUUCAUCUUCCAACAGAUUCUGAAAUCAUAAAUUAUGAGAAAUUGAUAUGUUUGACAAAGUAAACGAAAAAUAGUCCUUGAUAAAAUAGAAGCUACGUUUAACUAUAAAUAAAUAAAAAUUAAAAGACUUUGUCUUUUCAAAGCCUACUUGGCACACAAGACGGGCCAAAGUUAGGUAAGUAUUUGGAAAGAAACAAAACACAUGAAAAACUUGAUGAAGUUUAAGAUGUAUUUUCUGCUGCGAGUCUGCGACUGUUCGAGUAACGCCACUUUCUUGGCGCUACAAGACUGUUCAAAAGUUAGUCAUCCGAGAGAAAACAAAACCCAAAGAAAAAGUUUAAGAUGUAUCUUCUGCUACUACUAUUCCAAGAACGUAACCUGUGGGAUUGUCAUUUCAAUUAUAACAAACUUGAUAACUAUUGUAGUAAGGAAAUAUAAUUAUAUUUAAGAUGGUUUCUCAGUUGCUACUAUUCUAGGCGUCGCCUAUAAAACUGACUUUACAAAUAUACUCAAAAGUUAAAACUGUUAAAAGAAAAAUAAUUCAAAAUGCUUACUUUGAGUCACCCUUGGACCCUUCGUAUAAGAUCGUCUCGCUGUUGAGAUUGCAGUUUAAGUCGCAUAAUUGUAAUUUAAAUGUAAUUCUAAACAUAAUUGUUUGUUAGUUUCUAUUUAUUUUAAUUGGUAUUUUUCUUUCAUAUAAGCUUACUAUUAAAAACACAGUUACCUUUUGCGCUUAAGGUUAAUAGUAACAACACUUAUCCGAAAAUAAUUUAUAGUAAAAAGGUAGAAUUUUUUUCUCACAUUCAAACACAGUUUAAGUAUAUUAUUUUUUUGUAAAGAAAUAUAAGUACAUAAAUUGGCAUUUGAAACGACCCAAUGGAAACAAAAUAUUUUUUCCAAGAAAACUAUAUAGUUGAAAGGUGUUACAACUUAAUUAGCAUUGUUAUUUUUCUCUACUCAUUCACAUCUGGUAUACAUAUUUUAUCAUAAAAAUCUACUUUCGACCUAUAUAAAAAGUACAACCAAAAGUCUAUAAAUACUGGCUUUCAAAGUUCAUAAGUCAUCACUUCUUAAGUCUUAUAACCAAAAGAAGAGAGAAAAAUGGCUUCAUCAAAUCUAUUAGCGAUUAAGCUUUUUUCAUUCAUGGUGCUAUUCGCAAUAUCCCAUGCUCAAUCCUUUUCUCCAGGUCGGAAAAUAUUGCAGUACAUUCCUACUACGAAGUAUCCCCCGGAGCUGCCACCGGCGUACUCUCCUACUCCGGAGCUGCCACCAUCGUACACUCCAACUCCGGAGUUUCCACCGUCGUACAAUCUUGCUCCGGAGCUCCCUCCGUCGUACUUUCCUACUUCGAAGUUCCCAUCAUCGUACACUCCAACGCCGGAGCUUCCACCAUCGUACACUCCAACUCCAGAGCUGCCACCAUCAUACACUCCAAGUCCGAAGUCACCACCACCGUCGUACAAUCCUACUCCUGAGUUCCCUCCAUCGUACUCUCCAACUCCGGAGCUGACACCAUCGUACAUGCCUACGCCAGAGCUUCCUCCGCCGUAUUUUUCUGCUCCUCCACCAGCGCCCUAUUAGUCCAAAUUAUGGCGGUCCAUGCAUGAGAAUUUAAAGUUGGUCACACACACUAUCACACAUGAAAUAAACAAGGAUAUUGCUUUUACAAUUAUCAAAAAAAAAAAAAUACUGUAUACUUCAUUUUGAUCACCCUUUGCUAGCGAAUAAAAAAUGUUACUCGAUGAUGUUUACCGUUUUUUCUGAUUUGUAUAAGGUUAGAGCAACUCUAUUGGUAAGAUACUAUUUUCAAAAAUGUUAAUCAAUAAAAUAUUAAAAAUUUAAGUUAAUUUAAUCAUGUUAUUAAAUUGAAGGACACAAACAAAAUUUAAACUAUGUAUAAGUAGAUAUGUAUUUGAGGACCUCUAUAGUAGAUAUUUCAAAUGGACAUAUAUACAUGAAUGUAAAAGAAAAAUAACUAAUAUGAAGAGAGAAAAAGAAAAAUAAGCUUUCUUCUGUGACUUAGAAAAAAGAUUUAUGGAAAAUUCAUAGAAACAUUUGUGUCUUUCUGAAUGGAGUAAAUUUUAACGAAAACUUAGGCAUAUAACUAAAUUAUAUUAAAAUAUUAAUAUUAUUUUGCUUGAGAAUUUUUAGAAGGUCCUAAAAAGUACUGAAGUUCUUACGAGAGUUUUCUAUGGAGUUUCCAGAUUUGUUAAAAUGAGAAAUUUAUUUCAUUUUUUUUUCAUUUCCAUAUUUAUUUAUAUUAUCAAGAAUACUUAAUUAAAAAUUAAUACCACCAAUAUUGUGGAUACUUUCAUCUAUUAACUUGAAUUUUAUAAUGGAAAAUAAUGGAAAAGUUCAAUAAAAAAAACUGCAACUAAUACCCGAAUUUUUUUGCUAUCUAAUUUAAUACCUCAACUAAUUAUUUUAUUCAUUUUAAUACACUAAUUUUUAAGGUGUACUUUUAGUACUGUAAUUAUGCUUAUCUCAAUCAAAUAUUGAUAAAUUUUAGGGAAAAUUUGGAUAAAUGCACUUCCAUGAGAAUAUAAUUUGAAAAAUACACCUUUGUUUAAACUUUUUGAAAAAUACACUUACUUAUAUAUAAAUUUACCAAAUUGCCCAAUCUUAAUAUUUUUGAAUUUCUAUUAAACAAUUUUUUAAAAAGAAAAUCGUUAGAGAAUAGGGAAUAUCUUUUUAAUAUACUACACAAUAUCCUUCCCAUAUCUUUUUAAUAUAUCUUAAAUUUAUUUUUUUAUUAUUUUGAAAAAACCCACCGAAUAAUGUGUUUUGGCGGCUACUUUUGAUGUUCAGUCUAUAAAUCAACAUGAGUUUCAGGUUAGUGAUGGGUCAAGAAAUUACUUGGUUGAUCUUCAACAAAUGAAUUGCACAUGUAAUGUGUUUAAUGUUGACAAGAUCCCUUGUAAGCAUGAUGCUAAGGCUGCAACAAGUCGAGGCUUUAACCCUGGGUUAUUUGUGCAUCAGUAAUACUCAAAGGCACACAUGUGUGCUGCAUAUUCAGAGAGUAUAAGACCCAUAGAUGAGUUGCUGGAAGCGAGUGAAAUACCUCCUCAUGUUGUGGCUUAUAAAUGCUUUCCUCCAGAUGUUAAAAGAGGUGCUGGAAGACCUGUGAAAAGAAGAUAUGAAUGCUUUGGAGAACAAGCAACAGCUCAAAAAAAAGCACGAAAACAAGCUUGCUCAAGAUGUCAUCGUUCAGGACACAAUCGUGCCAGCUGCGACUUUGGAAUUUGACAUUUUUCUGUUCUAAACGUUUUUCUUAAAAUUUUGGCUUUUGGUUAUUCUAGCUUUUGAUAACUGUUUAAGUUUUUAUUUUGCAAUAAGGUUGAUUAUUUUCACAACAUAUGUUAUGUUUUCCAUUUGUUCUACACCUUUAAAGAGCUAUGAUUCUGUUCAAGUUCGAUGUAAGUGUCGUUUAUGCGGCUCAAUGGACACCUUAUGUUUUUUCUUCCUUCAUGAUGAAUACAAAUUUGAUUAAUGAAGAAAGAAAAGAAUAUGUAGAAACAAAUGUGACUUGCUUUUGUUUUUAACAACGUGACUUGUUAUAUAAGUUGAAGAAAAUAAAAUAAAGGGAAAUUUGUAUAAACUUCAUGAUAAAGUCAAAACAAGUCAUAUUUCACAUAAUCAUCUUUGUUAUUGUAAAAUUUAAAUGGUAACAUAACAUAUUUAUCUCAAUAUACAUAUUUAUCUUAAACAUAAAUAAUUUUAAUGAUAUUAUUUUUAUUAAUUUCGAAUUUAUAUAUUAGUUUCGAAUUAUAUCUUGGGCAAAAAAGUCAAUUCAUAAUUAAGAAAGUGUAUUUUUCAAAAGGUAAAACAGAAAAUGCAAUUAUCAAAUUUCAAAUCCUAAAUAUGGUAUUUUGCAAAUUAUCCCU
This is an RNA transcript of Brassica rapa (field mustard), 5219 nucleotides long. RefSeq lists it as uncharacterized. Lineage: Eukaryota; Viridiplantae; Streptophyta; Magnoliopsida; Brassicales; Brassicaceae. The record is from RefSeq and is a predicted model, not a curated record.